CAGCAGCCGCGGUAAUACGUAGGGUGCGAGCGUUAAUCGGAAUUACUGGGCGUAAAGCGUGCGCAGGCGGUUGUGUAAGACAGGUGUGAAAUCCCCGGGCUUAACCUGGGAACUGCGCUUGUGACUGCACAGCCAGAGUAUGGCAGAGGGGGGUGGAAUUCCACGUGUAGCAGUGAAAUGCGUAGAGAUGUGGAGGAACACCGAUGGCGAAGGCAGCCCCCUGGGCCAAUACUGACGCUCAUGCACGAAAGCGUGGGGAGCAAACAGGAUUAGAUACCCCCGUAGUCCCUGUCUCUUAUAC
Molecule: ribosomal RNA, 301 nt
Filed under: uncultured bacterium
Lineage: Bacteria
Description: partial 16S ribosomal RNA
Rfam family: Bacterial small subunit ribosomal RNA
Source: RNAcentral